UUGCAGGCUCCCGUGCUGGUGCAUCGAACUGCUUUCCUCACUUUCGAUCAAUCGUUGCUCCACGAGUUGACGUUGGAUGCAAAAUGUGGGUUCCUGUGUUGCAUACCUAUUGCGACGGAAAUGUGUGCCUUCGGUAAUCCCUUCCAUCACGGCGUCCUCUCGGAUGCUCGGUUGGACCGGAUAGUGGGGCUCGUGUUCCACGAACACCAUCUCAUUCGAUCGUGCUCGGACGGAUCACGAGCGCCCACUCGUUCUCUCGGAUGCGGAACUUUCUUCAUGGGUAUGGGGUCAUCGGCCCUUCUUCCCAAUCGUAAAGCGUUUAUCGCUUCAUCGGAAUGACGCUCUCGCCUUGUCUUUGAUCGAAGCGAAGCUCUCGGGCUUGGCUUCGAAUCAUGCUWGGCGGACGUCGUGAAGGAAUGC
This 420-nucleotide unclassified non-coding RNA is filed under the name Corymbia peltata. Its description in RNAcentral is "partial external transcribed spacer". Lineage: Eukaryota; Viridiplantae; Streptophyta; Magnoliopsida; Myrtales; Myrtaceae. The record is from RNAcentral.